RNAcentral lists this transfer RNA (73 nucleotides) under Stegodyphus mimosarum. It matches the Rfam family "tRNA". From Rfam's summary of the family: Transfer RNA (tRNA) molecules are approximately 80 nucleotides in length. Lineage: Eukaryota; Metazoa; Arthropoda; Arachnida; Araneae; Eresidae. The record is from Rfam by way of RNAcentral.
GCCUUCAUGGUGUAGUGGUCAGCACGCUGAGCGCAUAUUCCAGAAGUCUGUGGUUCGAGUCCUGGUGAAGGCA